This 253-nucleotide ribosomal RNA is filed under the name uncultured bacterium. RNAcentral describes it as "partial 16S ribosomal RNA". It matches the Rfam family "Bacterial small subunit ribosomal RNA", at positions 524 to 776 of the family's 1533-position model. The record is from RNAcentral.
GACGGAGGGUGCAAGCGUUGUUCGGAUUGACUGGGCGUAAAGGGCGUGUAGGCGGUUGGUUAAGUCUGACGUGAAAGCCCGGGGCUCAGCCCCUGAAGGGCAUCGGAAACUAGCCAGCUGGAGCGCGAUAGAGGAGGGUGGAAUUCCUGGUGUAGCGGUGAAAUGCGUAGAUAUCAGGAGGAACACCGGCGGCGAAGGCGGCCCUCUGGAUCGUUGCUGACGCUGAGACGCGAAAGCGUGGGGAGCAAACAGG